RNAcentral lists this ribosomal RNA (500 nucleotides) under uncultured bacterium. RNAcentral describes it as "partial 16S ribosomal RNA". It matches the Rfam family "Bacterial small subunit ribosomal RNA", at positions 29 to 523 of the family's 1533-position model. The record is from RNAcentral.
AUUGAACGCUGGCGGCAUGCCUUACACAUGCAAGUCGAACGGCAGCGCGGGCUUCGGCCUGGCGGCGAGUGGCGGACGGGUGAGUAAUGCACCGGAACGUGCCCAGGAGUGGGGGAUAACGUAGCGAAAGUUACGCUAAUACCGCAUACGUACUGAGGUAGAAAGCGGGGGAUCGAAAGACCUCGCGCUCAUGGAGCGGCCGAUGUCGGAGUAGCUAGUUGGUGGGGUAAAAGCUCACCAAGGCGACGAUCCGUAGCUGGUCUGAGAGGACGACCAGCCACACUGGGACUGAGACACGGCCCAGACUCCUACGGGAGGCAGCAGUGGGGAAUCUUGGACAAUGGGGGAAACCCUGAUCCAGCAAUGCCGCGUGUGGGAUGAAGGCCCUCGGGUUGUAAACCACUUUUGGCAGGAAAGAAAUCGCCUGUGCUAAUACCAUGGGCGGAUGACGGUACCUGCAGAAUAAGCACCGGCUAACUACGUGCCAGCCGCCGCGGUAA